ACCCUGACCAAAACAGACCGCGCACCCGUCAUCCAGCCUGCCGGCGGUGGCACUGUUCGUCGCUCGGCCAAGUCCUCGAUAACCUCCUCUUCUCGGAGUGGGGGCUCGGGGUAAAAGAACCCACGACGCCUAAGGCGUCAAGGAACACUAUGCCUAGCUCGGGGACGCGGACGGCUUGCUGGCCGCCCCCCGUGCUGCAAUGCUAUUUAAUCCACACGACUCUCGGCAACGGAUAUCUCGGCUCUCGCAUCGAUGAAGAACGUAGCGAAAUGCGAUACCUGGUGUGAAUUGCAGAAUCCCGCGAACCAUCGAGUCUUUGAACGCAAGUUGCGCCCGAGGCCAUUCGGCCGAGGGCACGCCUGCCUGGGCGUCACGCAAAACACGCUCCCACCCCCUCAUCAGGGAGCGGGACGCGGCAUGUGGCCCCCCGUCGCGCAAGGGGCGGUGGGCCGAAGAUAUGGCUGCCGGCGUAUCGUGCUGGACACAGCGUGUGGUGGGCGACCUCGCUUUACUUCCGCAGUGCAUCCAGCGCGUAGCCGACGUGAUGGCCUCGAAGGACCCUAUGAACGGUGCGCACAACGCUCCGACC
Molecule: unclassified non-coding RNA, 589 nt
Filed under: Pentapogon quadrifidus
Lineage: Eukaryota; Viridiplantae; Streptophyta; Magnoliopsida; Poales; Poaceae
Description: sequence contains ITS1, 5.8S rRNA gene, ITS2
Rfam family: 5.8S ribosomal RNA (bases 218-373)
Source: RNAcentral